Molecule: microRNA precursor, 82 nt
Filed under: Drosophila persimilis
Lineage: Eukaryota; Metazoa; Arthropoda; Insecta; Diptera; Drosophilidae
Also listed under: 1 other name
Description: mir-999 microRNA precursor family
Rfam family: mir-999 microRNA precursor family
Source: Rfam by way of RNAcentral
CUCAAUUACCAUGACAUAGUCGUACGGUGAAUGUUGUGUAUUGGACCAAUGUUAACUGUAAGACUGUGUCUCGGUGGUUGUC